Molecule: ribosomal RNA, 497 nt
Filed under: uncultured bacterium
Lineage: Bacteria
Description: partial 16S ribosomal RNA
Rfam family: Bacterial small subunit ribosomal RNA
Source: RNAcentral
GAUGAACGCUGGCGGCGUGCCUAAUACAUGCAAGUCGAGCGAACAGACGAGGAGCUUGCUCCUCUGACGUUAGCGGCGGACGGGUGAGUAACACGUGGAUAACCUACCUAUAAGACUGGGAUAACUUCGGGAAACCGGAGCUAAUACCGGAUAAUAUAUUGAACCGCAUGGUUCAAUAGUGAAAGACGGUUUUGCGGUCACUUAUAGAUGGAUCCGCGCCGCAUUAGCUAGUUGGUAAGGUAACGGCUUACCAAGGCAACGAUGCGUAGCCGACCUGAGAGGGUGAUCGGCCACACUGGAACUGAGACACGGUCCAGACUCCUACGGGAGGCAGCAGUAGGGAAUCUUCCGCAAUGGGCGAAAGCCUGACGGAGCAACGCCGCGUGAGUGAUGAAGGUCUUCGGAUCGUAAAACUCUGUUAUUAGGGAAGAACAAAUGUUUAAGUAACUCUGCACGUCUUGACGGUACCUAAUCAGAAAGCCACGGCUAACUACGUG